AGAAAAUCAGGUCGCAUACCUUGAAAUAAAGCGCCCCCUCUGCGUUUUAAAUGCAUACUCCCCAGGGUGACAGCGUUCAGCAAGUUACGGAGGAGAAGACGUCCGAGAAACACGGAUGCGCGACGGCUCAGUAUCCAGGCCGGUCCCAGAAACAAUACUCCCCAUCACCUGGAAGUACUUACCCAAAAAGCAAGCAAAAGAGCAAGGGCAUGUCUGCCUAAGGGCAAAUCUCACCAUUUCCAGUUAUUUCCUACGUUUUAAUUUUAUGUGAGCCUUUCAAGUAAUUACUGGAUUUUUUUUUUAGUGCAGUAAUUCUUUUUUCCUAUACAGCCAACUUACAUCCAUUGUGACAUGUUUGUACUAUCCUCAACCCCCCACUUGGUUUAACUUUAUCUUUUUUGAAUUUUUAUUAGCGUUCUCUUUUUACAUCUCUAGUAGAAUUGAAUCACUUUACUGCCAAUCCUCUUGAUUUAUUCAUGGGUAUACAUGUAGUGAGUAUUGUUUUCAAGCUUGUGGAGCUGUAAGACAUUUGCUAUUUUGUUUUCUCAGUGGAAUAUGUAAACUGAGGGGGUAAGUGUGCUAGGACACAAGUAGUUUAUGGAACUGCAACCGUAAGGGAGCAGAAAUCUGCAGAUGGGACACAAGCAGCAAAAAUAUACAUUUAACCUCUUUUCUGGCUGGAACCAUGGCGGCUGUUGAAGAGAAGAAAAAGAAGGUUCCUGCUGUGCCAGAAACCCUUAAGAAAAAGCGAAAGAAUUUCGCAGAGCUGAAGAUCAAGCAUCUGAGAAAGAAGUGUGCCCAAAAGAUGCUUCGAAAGACAAGGAGGAAGCUUAUCUAUGAAAAAGCUAAGCGUUAUCAUAAAGAAUACAAGCAGGUGUACAGAACUGAGAUUCAGAUGGCAAGAAAAGCUGGCAACUUCUACGUACCUGUAGAACCCAAAUUGGCAUUUGUCAUCAGGAUCAGAGGUAUCAGUGGUGCGAGUCCAAAGGUCCGAAAGGUGUUGCAGCUUCUUCGCCUUCGCCAGAUCUUCAAUGGAACUUUUGUUAAGCUCAAUAAGGCUUCCAUUAACGUGCUGAGGAUUGUAGAACGGUAUAUUGCAUGGGGGUAAUACCCAAAUCUGAAGUCAGUAAAUGAGCUAAUCUACAAGCGUGGUUAUGGCAAAAUCAAUAAGAAACAAAUUGCGUUGACUGAUAACAGUUUGUGCGAUCUCUUGGUAAAUGUGGCAUCAUCUGCAUGGAGGAUCUGGGAUCUGAUUCAUGAGAUCUAUACUGUUGGAAAACGCUUCAAAGAAGCAAAUAACUUCUUGUGGCCCUUCAAGUUAUCAUCUCCACGGGGGGGAAUGUAGAAAGAAACAACCCACUUUGUAGAAGGUGGAGAUGCUGGUAACAGGGAAGACCAGAUCAAUCGGCUUAUUAGAAGAAUGAACUAAGGUAUCUCCCCUGAUUGUUUUUGUAAUUUGGUCAGUUAAUAAACAGUGACUGCUUUCAAAUUGAAAAAAAAACAUUAUAUAUAUAUAAUAUUUAUAAUGUAUAUAUAUAUACAUUUAAAUUAAAUUUUUCAAGUUUCCUCCAGAUUGAUUGAUGGAGACAGGGUCUUGCUCUGUUGCCCAGGCAAGCUGAAGUGCAGUGGUGUGACCAUAGCUCACUGCAACCCCAAGGACCAUAGGCUUAUGCCAUCAUACCAGGCUAAUUGUGAAAAAAGCUUUUCUUCUAAAGAGAGUCUUACUAUGUUUUGGAGGCUGAUCUUGAACUCCAGCAUUCCUCCUACCUCACCCUUGCAAAGUGUUUGGAUUAUAGGCAAGAGCCACUAUACCCAGUCCUGUUUUGUUUUGUUUUUAAUGUUAGAUUCAUCGAUUCAUUGAGAUCCAGUCAUUGAUUUACAUGCAGUAAAAUUCACUAAGGGUUUUAUCAAUUUUGACAAAUACCUACAGUCAUGUAACCACAACCAAGAUAUUGAAUCAAAGUAUUUUCACCACCCAAAAGAGUUCUAGCUCCCCUUAGUAAACUUCUUAUCCAUCUUCUGGAAACCCCUAAUGAGUUUUUGUUCCAUAGUUUUGGCUAUUUUCCAGACCAUCAUAUGGACACAAUCAUUUAACAUGUAGCCUUUGAGUCUGGCUUCUUUUAACUUAGCAUAAUGCCCUCGAGAUUCACUGAAGCUGUUGAACAGGAAUCUGUUCCUUUUCGUAGAUAAGUAGUAUUUCAUAGUAUGAAUGUGCCAUUAUUUAUCUAUUCACUGGUUGAA
Nycticebus coucang (slow loris) is the source of this 2241-nucleotide RNA transcript. It is a transcript of the gene named 60S ribosomal protein L7-like, with no coding region annotated. Lineage: Eukaryota; Metazoa; Chordata; Mammalia; Primates; Lorisidae. The transcript is spliced from 3 exons. The record is from RefSeq and is a predicted model, not a curated record.